RNA transcript from Gadus morhua (Atlantic cod), 4462 nucleotides. It is a transcript of the gene named caldesmon 1a, with no coding region annotated. The record is from RefSeq and is a predicted model, not a curated record. Lineage: Eukaryota; Metazoa; Chordata; Actinopteri; Gadiformes; Gadidae. The transcript has 18 exons.
GUUUGAGAGAACGAGAGCUUUAUCGCUGUAUGAGUUUUGGAGGCAGGGAAACUAUAGGGAGAGGAGAGCGGCUACCAGAAGGAAACCUAGAUGUGUGCGAUUAUGUUUUAAAGGGAGGGGCUUGGGACUUUUUUCAUCAUUGCAUUACAGUGAGGAACCAGCAGAAUUACACACUCCCCUCACUGGCCUCUGUGGUUGUCUGAGACAUCGACUGAAGAGUACAACUUAACUUUUCUCCCCGUAUCAAGAUCCGCAGGCCACCGGUGAGCAUUCCACGAGAUCCCUCCUCCACCUCCUCUCAUCCUCUGGUGUAAAGCAUGGAGGACAUGGACUUCGAGAGGCGCCGGGAGCUCAGACGGCAGAAGCGUGAGGAGAUGCGCCUGGAAGCUGAACGCCUGGCGAAGAACGAUGAAGACGAGGAGGAGGCGGCGAGGGAGAGGAGGCGCAGGGCGCGCCAGGACAGGAUGAAGGGCAGGGACGGGGAGGAGCCCUGUGGACAGACUGACGGCGGGACCAACAGCCACAGCGUGACGGAGACGGUGUCUGUGAGCAGCUCCUACAGUGGGGGAGGAGGAGGAGGAGGAGGAGGAGGAGGAGGAGAAGGAGGAGACGAGGAGGAGCAGGCGCUGCUAGAGCGCAUGGCCAAGAGGGAGGAGCGUCGGCAGAAGCGCAUGAUGGAGGCGCUGGAGCGCCAGCGGGAGCUGGACGGCACCGGGUCCGGGACGGACGCCCCCGGCAACGCUGGGGGAGGCGACGCAGCGGGGAAGAACGAUGAAGAGGCGGGGCAGCCCUCCUGGCGUGGGGGUCACCGUGACGACGGGGAGGAAGAGGAGGAGGAGCAGCAGAAGCCGGUGAUGUAUGGCAGCAGCAGCAGAAGGAGGGAGGAAGAGGAGGAGGAGGAGGUGGAGAAGUAUGAGGAAGAGGAGGUGGUGGAGGCGGAGGUGGAGCUUGGAGGAGAAGAGGAGAUGGAGCAGAGACGGGAGGAGGAGGAGGAGGAGGAGGAGGAGGAGAAGCCCAGGAGGUCUAGCAUUAGGGAACAGAAUUCCACUGAGGAACAGGAUCAGUUUAAAUUGUCAGAUCAGGAAAAUAACACAGAGGAAACUCACUCUGCAGUCGGUGGAAAUUUAAACUCAAAUCAGGGGAGAUCUCCUGAUUCGCCGUCUCUGGGCGAAGCAGAGACGUGGGGAGAGGUAGUGGAGGAAGUAGGCAACACAGAUAGUACUUUAGAAAACAGCGUGAGUGAUUGCAACCAAGAGGAUAAUGAGGUUUCAGAGAUACUGCGCGCCACGAGCGCUGCGGCGGCGGUGAAUGAGAGGGGCGGCGCCAGAGAGGAGAGGGGGAGUCAGAACGGCGGCGUUCACGAGGAAGCUCCUCCCAAGCAAUUUAGGAAACCCGAGAGGAUCCCGAGCCGCAGCUCCCUCCGUUCCCCGGAGGCGUCCGCGGUUGCCGCCGACAACCAGGACGAGGACGCCGACGCCCGCCUCGCGGAGCGGAAGCUGGAGGAGUUGAAGCGUCGCCGCGACGACACGGAGAGCAAGGAGUUCGAGCGGCUGCGGCAGAAGCAGCAGGAGGCGGACGCCCAGCUGGAGGGGCUGAAGAGCAAGAGGGAGGAGAGGAGGAAGGUGCUGGAGGAGGAGGAGCGCCAGAGGAAGCAGGAGGAGGGCGACCGGAAGGCCAGGGAGGAGGAGGAGAAGAGGAGGAUGAAGGAGGAGAUCGAGAGAAGAAGAGCAGAGGCCGCCGAGAAGAGACAGAAGGGGGAGGAGGGGCUGGAUGGAGAGGGGAAGGCGUUCAAGUGUGUGAGCCCUAGAGGCUCCUCCCUCAAGAUCGAGGAGAGAACAGAGUUCCUCAACAAGUCGGCACAGAGAAGCUCGGUGAAACUGCCUCACUCUCCUGUCGUCUCCAAGAUUGACAACCGGCUGGAGCAGUACACUUCAGCUGCCCAGAGGGAGAACAGGGAGUCUCGCUCGCCCCGUUCGGGGGCCUCUGACCUGCCCCUGGUCACCGAUGGCGUCCGCAGCAUCAAGAGCAUGUGGGAGAAGGGCAACGCCUUCUCCUCGCCUGGAGGGGGCGCCGGGGCGUUCAAGGAAACAGCUGUGGUGAAGAUAGGUGUGGCGGGACGCAUCAACGACUGGCUCAACAAAACCCCCGAGAGCGGCAAAACGGCGGGAGGAGGGAGGCCGGUGGACCUGAAGCCUGUUGACGUCACCAACAAGAGAAGUCUAUGGGAAAACAAAGGCACCACCCCCACCAAGAACUCCUUUAGCUAGUUUUCAUCGUCGUUAAAUCUGGAAGAAGCCCUGAGAGAUGACAGGCAGAGGGGAGGCAAAAUCAGUCGCAAAUGGUAUGGGACACUAAUAUCUCCAGAGGCUGCUGCAGCAACAGCCAGGGACCAAGACGAUCUAAUCCAAGCCUCUUCCUUUAGACCCAGUCUUAUGUAUCCAGUAAAGACACACCCACAAGACGACACACCCAUCAACCAGGGGGGCGGAGGGGAAAAGGGCGGGAGGCGGGGGGAGGGGGGUAACGCACGGUCCGACCACUGUACCGAAACAGCAUUUUUGUACGGUUGCGUCUGAGUAUAGUGCCUUUGCACGUCGAUUUAUUUUUAUUUUUGCGUAGUGUUACAUUCUUAAGAAAAAAUAAAAUGAAAAGAACCAAAAAUGCUGUGAAAUUUGGACCUUUAUGAUCUUUCUACAUAUGCGUCGCGUAGAAUCCCACGGGGCACAAAGCAAAGAAAAUAUGGUUAAUUUGAAUUUAGCUCUUUCGGCCUUGUCCAAUUCUAGAUGUCCGUGAACACAUACUAUAAGCGAUUACAUGACUCUCUCUCUCUCUCUCACUCAAACAUCGUUUUUUUAUUUUAUUUAUAUUUAAAGCGAAUGCUUCACACUUUGCGACUUUAGUCACCAAGUUCAAGAUAGAAAGAAAAAAAGCACUUCUAGAAUUUAGCGGAUUUCACUUUAAUAAUGUCUUAAUAAAACCAAUAGCUCCGCAAUGUUUCGAGUAAUAUAUGUUAGCACAUGUGUUUGUUUUUUUAUUAUUAACUAUUAUAAUGUACGUUUAUAUAUCAAUAACCUUUUUAUACGCAUAAAAAAAAGGUAUUUCGCUUUUUUUGAUAUUAUGACUAUUCACCAACAGGCAGUUAAGGACUUAAAGCGUUAAUUUUGGCAGUGAAAGGAGCGCUCGAUUAUUAACACCAUUCCAUCUUUAAUCAUACAUAAAGUCGAUUUCUUAUUUAUGCUUUUUUAUAUGUUGUGUCAUUUUUGAAAAUUUCGAAAAACACGAAAAGUCUCAUGAUCACUUUAAAAUCUUCAUAGACAUUCCUACGUAACGAUGUUAACGCAGCUGUGUGGCGCGGUGAAGGGGAAGGGGGGGGCUUUCUGCUUAUUUUUUCUUUGUUUUUUAAAGCUAUUGGGUUUAUGCUGGGUCUUAUUCACCUACAGCGGCCAUCUUGGUUCCAACGGCUAGCUAGGCAGUAGACCUGAAAGCAGACCAAGACUUAAAGGUGACAUAUUAUAGCACCAGGAGUGAGUGUGAUUAGCCGUUUCAAGCCGUUUUGGAAAUCUGGUGGUAUAAAAUGUCACCUUUAACCAAGAUGGCCGAUAAUAAAUAAGACCCAUGCAGGGGAUUAAUAAAAACAACAGGACUGAAUUCAUUCCAGAUAUGUACUAUGAAUCACAGGCAUUCCUACCUUGGGCACGCAGAGAGAUAUCCAAUCUGCCGGUUGCCUGUAGAAUACAAUAAUCGUUAAAUGCAAGGAUGUGCACCACUAUAUAAUUGUGUUAAGUUUGUUGCCUUAUGAUUGCAAUAACAAGUGUUUUUUUGUUGUUUUUGUUAAUGGAUUCAACGGCCUCUGUGCUACAAACACAUGAGUAAACGUAAGGUAUGUCACCUGUCGGCUGUUGGCAGUUAUCCUACCUACGAAAUCGUCGUUGUAUUCCCGAUGCUUAACUUUUGCCGAAAAAUUCUCAAGUGUUGCAUUGCAUUACAUUAAUAUGUACGUGAGGUUGUUUUUUUUCGCACAGCACAUGCUUUGAUAAGGAUAAUGAAAUAUUCUCUGGGGCAUGAAAUUAAUCAUAUGUUCUGCUCCAAACUCUCGACAAUCACAUUCCAAGGCUCCUACCAUGAGCAGGGGAGCCUGACAAAGAAAAAAAAAAAAGUUCUUGUAUGAUUUAUGGUGACGUUUUAUUGCCUCUUUUUUUUAUAUACUGUGGUUCUCAUAUUGCCUCGAUGAUUUAUUUUUUGUUACAUCUUUAGUCCAUCUCUUUUGUGUUAGCCUUCUAAGUCCAUGUUUAACCAGACACCUGUCUUUUUACGAAGCGAAUAACCGCUAUGCAAAGCACACACACAUGCUGUUCUGUUUGCCCCUAGCCAAGCGCUCUCAAUGUCACGGCGGUGGCUAGCUUCCAGCUGGAUUCAUGUUCAUCAAACAUUGUACCAUUGACAAUAAAGACAUUAUCGUUAA